Molecule: non-coding RNA, 23 nt
Filed under: Cricetulus griseus (Chinese hamster)
Lineage: Eukaryota; Metazoa; Chordata; Mammalia; Rodentia; Cricetidae
Source: RNAcentral
AGGAGUCGAAGGACUAGAAUGAG